AGAGGGAGGCCGCCCCUUUUUCUCCUCUGCUAGGGUUUUGAACCCAGUUCCCCAGACCGCCACCAACAACUAGGCCGCUUUAGGGCCUCCGAUAUUUGCCCGAUCUCUGAUGGCGACAGAGCGGGUAAAGCCAGGUAAACGGUUCCUCCUUUAACUCUUUUUUUAUAUAUAUGUAUAUGUAUAUGAUUAAAAAUGGAAGAACAAAAAAGAAAAAUUGAAAGAAAAAAACGAAAGAUGCAGAAAAAAGAAGAAAGAAAAGCAAAUCACCUCAUUUCAAUUUUUUUUUGUUUAUUGAUUCUCUGCGUAAAAAAAGGGAUCUGAACCCUUUACAGGUUUUAGAACGACUUUCUAUAUGGCCGAGAGAAGAAAAAAACUAAAAAAAAAUACAAAAUUCUAUAUCCCCCCUGUUACAGGUUUUUUUGAAAGGCUUUUUAUAGCCCCCGAAAGAAAUGUAAAAAUAAUACAAACUUAUUAUUUUUUCUUUUUUGUUAUUUCAUUUUUCUCUGCAUUUCUCUUGUUGUUUGUUUGUGUGCUGCGUAGGUACAGCCGUACGAAGGUGCGGUGAUGUGGAGCGGCUCGGAGGCGUGGUUCGUGGGGCACGUGAGGACAACGGCGGCUGAAGGCUUAGGGUUUUGGUCUCUAGGGUUUGUAGAAACUGUUUGGUCAUUGGGCCACUAUUUUUUAGAUUGGGUAUGGGUUAAAUUAUUUUGGGUUGUAAUUGGACUGAUGUUAUUGUUUUUUUGGACUAAAAUUUUUUUAUUUUGAUUUGAUUUUUUUUAUUACGAGCUGGGCAAAUUGGGCCUAUUACAAUUAUGUUUGAGAUUGUGUGACAUAUUGCAUAUGCAUUGGGAUGAGAUUUUGUGGUUGACGGAGGAGUUUCGUAGAGUAUCGAUGGCAUAUUAAGUUUGCAUAUAUACGUAGUCAGUGCACUGCAUUUGGAGUACUGGGGGGGUUGGUGAUUAUAUCGUAUUAUUUGUUAUUUGGUGGUUC
This 990-nucleotide long non-coding RNA is filed under the name Gossypium raimondii (Peruvian cotton). RNAcentral's name for it is "long non-coding RNA (GRAI_LNC008147)". Lineage: Eukaryota; Viridiplantae; Streptophyta; Magnoliopsida; Malvales; Malvaceae. The record is from RNAcentral.